CCUACGGGUGGCAGCAGUGAGGAAUAUUGGUCAAUGGACGAGAGUCUGAACCAGCCAAGUAGCGUGAAGGAUGACUGCCCUAUGGGUUGUAAACUUCUUUUAUAUGGGAAUAAAAUGGUCCACGGGUGGGAUUUUGUAUGUACCAUAUGAAUAAGGAUCGGCUAACUCCGUGCCAGCAGCCGCGGUAAUACGGAGGAUCCGAGCGUUAUCCGGAUUUAUUGGGUUUAAAGGGAGCGUAGGUGGAUUGUUAAGUCAGUUGUGAAAGUUUGCGGGUCAACCGUAAAAUUGCAGUUGAAACUGGCAGUCUUGAGUACGGUAGAGGUAGGCGGAAUUCGUGGUGUAGCGGUGAAAUGCUUAGAUAUCACGAAGAACUCCGAUUGCGAAGGCAGUUCACUGGACUGCAACUGACACUGAGGCUCGAAAGUGUGGGUAUCAAACAGGAUUAGAUACCCCGGUAGUC
Molecule: ribosomal RNA, 460 nt
Filed under: uncultured bacterium
Lineage: Bacteria
Description: partial 16S ribosomal RNA
Rfam family: Bacterial small subunit ribosomal RNA
Source: RNAcentral